Molecule: long non-coding RNA, 625 nt
Organism: Lotus japonicus
Lineage: Eukaryota; Viridiplantae; Streptophyta; Magnoliopsida; Fabales; Fabaceae
Exons: 3
Source: RefSeq, a predicted model, not a curated record
CCAAAUUCGUGGAGAGCAAGGGAGGAAGAGAUUUUCGCGAAAACUUGACCAAUCUUCGUGCAGUUCGUCCCUACUUCUAGGUAUCAAGUUGAAGGAACUUUGGAAUAUUCAGAGCAACUGUUUGAGGACAACCUUGAUUUCGAAGCUGGAACAGCUCGAGGCGUCUGUCAGCCGGUUCGUGAUGAUUCGUUGUGCGGGAAAGACCCGGAGCGAAAUGUCUAUUACUGAAGCUUUCGACGAGGACCCAGACUUCAUGGCUGAUCGAGGGAGAGUCGAUAAUAGUAGUGUGGGUUAUGGGUGGUUAGAGUCUUUUGAGUUGGUUGUCACUGUCAUAGCUCUGAUUCGUCUUACUUUUGGGACCGGGUAGGUUCCCGAUAUAUGGCUUUUUGUGUGGUUCUCUUGCUGAGGAUCACAGAGAGUCUGUCGGACUAUAGGGGUCUUGGGUUGAGGCCAUUUUGAGGCCGACCUUCUCUUGGAUAGUGGUAUAUUUGAUGCUUUUGCGUACAGUUCUGGUUUGUAUAUAUUCGCCUACGGGCACGCUACCUUGGAGUCACUGCGUGUGCGCGUGACGGGAUAGUGCAGCAGAGGCUGUACCUUUGUAUAUGUUGUUUAUCGGUUAGUUUAG